CACGUAGGCACCAAGCGUUGUCCGGAUUUAUUGGGCGUAAAGAGCUCGUAGGCGGUUCGGUAAGUCAGGUGUGAAACCUUUGGGCUCAACCCAAAGCCUGCAUCUGAUACUGCUGUGACUAGAGUUCGGUAGGGGAGCGGGGAAUUCCUAGUGUAGCGGUGAAAUGCGCAGAUAUUAGGAGGAACACCGGUGGCGAAGGCGCCGCUCUGGGCCGAAACUGACGCUGAGGAGCGAAAGCGUGGGUAGCAAACAGG
RNAcentral lists this ribosomal RNA (254 nucleotides) under uncultured bacterium. RNAcentral's name for it is "partial 16S ribosomal RNA". It matches the Rfam family "Bacterial small subunit ribosomal RNA", at positions 524 to 776 of the family's 1533-position model. The record is from RNAcentral.